AGUCUGAGUUUCCUGCUAGGGAGGGAGGCCUAAACCAAGAUGGUAACCAAUAGAACAGCAGGAAGGGGGUAAAUAUAUACGUUUGUAUGAGAUACCCAGUCUAGUUGAAAGCCCCCACCCUCCGUAGUCUUUAAAUCAACUACGGUCUACCCACCUAUGACUUUUAAGAGACGUGUCAAGUUGUCUUAGCUUCGAACCGUGCAAUCUAUGACUUGGAUGUGUCAAGCUUGUCUAAGCUUGGUGCUUUGAAUCUGUAACACAUGUCAAUAGUGGUAUUGUUGGUUCCGUAACUGUCUGCUCAGUACAGUUUGAACCUUGCGUACACUUAUGCUCCCGAUAACUGAGGUUGCAGUAAUACAUAUAACCUAAAAAUUGUGUCUCUCUUACAUAAUGCACGUACCACUUGGUAGUAAGGAAACACUCGUGACUUCUGAUUAGUUCUAUGAACCACGAAAAGCAGAUGAAUUAGUAGAAACAAAACACUUGUUAGCUCUGAUUAGGUCUAUGAAUCAUGAAAUGACAAAUACACACAAAUGACAAAUACCGGGGUUAAAAUAGACAACUGAAAGUAACUGGGGAAAAUGCUAGCCCAUCAUACUGACAGAAGGCCCUAACCGCCUUCAGUGAACUUUUAAUAUUUUAUGAUACAGCAGUAUACUGUAUAUCUAACAUACAAAGGAUACAGUAACUGCUUAUAUGAAGAUAUACAUAACAAGGCCACCAGAUGGAGGUAUGCUGCUCUGUAGCCUGAUAACCAGGUGUAAGACAAAGUCUAAUUAAAUUAGAGUAAUGGCUAACAGCAACACAACAUGGCGCAGAGGAACAACUCUCUACAAUUAUCAAUAGUACUGUAUAGCUUACUUUAAUAUGCAUAUCACCAAUAAUUAAUGCACUACAUAACAUAAUUAACCAUCUCUAACAUAACUGUAUAUAUCCCUGUGUUGGACUGUUGUGCCUCUCUCAAGAUUAAUAUGCAUCAUUGUAACAUGGCCUCGUGGUGGCUCAGAUUGAUGAGCGUGGCACCGUGCUCGUUUAUGACCCUUGUGUGUGAGACCGUGAGUCCGUACUUAUGGCAUGAGUUAGACCGCUGCCGUCUGUGGAUGGCGGCUGCUAUGGCAAUGAGUGGCCGCUGGCCAGAAACCAACCCCUGUAAAAUGUUGUGACCAUACCGGCCACGUCAUGCCACUGGGGAGGUGCUAGCUAAGCCGGUAUGCAGCUUUAUCCUCCGGGGAUGUCACUGCCCUCCGUGGCCCUGGUGAGUCCAUGGGGGGGCAGGUGUUCAGAGUGCUUGGGGAAUAAAUAUAUUGGCCCCGGUGCCGGUGCCCGCGGUGGGUAGGCGGGUUCCCAAGCAUCGAUAUAGACGGUGUACUACUGUUUGUGCGGGAAAGCCAUACAGCCCGAGUUCCGACCGGUGGUGAUCCAGAGGAGCCUUCAAUUCUGUGAUCCUGCUCUCGGUUAUCUGGAAGUGUUUGAUACGAGCCUCAGCAGUAUGCCAGCAGUAUGUCUGGAACCAAUCAC
This is a non-coding RNA of Pelobates cultripes (western spadefoot toad), 1518 nucleotides long. NCBI's taxonomy places the organism in Eukaryota, Metazoa, Chordata, Amphibia, Anura, Pelobatidae. The record is from the annotation of a GenBank genome assembly.